This is a long non-coding RNA of Lagopus leucura (white-tailed ptarmigan), 528 nucleotides long. RefSeq lists it as uncharacterized. NCBI's taxonomy places the organism in Eukaryota, Metazoa, Chordata, Aves, Galliformes, Phasianidae. The record is from RefSeq and is a predicted model, not a curated record. The transcript is spliced from 3 exons.
UUUCUUGUUGAAACUUUCUUAUGUGAACCUAGAAUUUUCAGAAAUGGAGAAGUGGCCUUCUGCAGAGUUGAUGCCCAGUUUCCAUCAGUGCAUGUGAGACGACAAUUAAAGCAGAUGUUGGGGCCAAGUUCAUCGUGGUUCAGAAGUGUUACAUAGAGGGUGGAUCUGGCUACCACUGUGGGAAGUGGAAUGCUGUAGAAGUGAUUUCUCAUGAUUUGUUUCUGAAAACGGAGUGAAACCAACAACGUCUUUCGUGAUUUCAGCAGAUGAUGAUAAAGGUUUGAAGAUAAAAGGGUUAUAAAGGCCACGAAGGGGGGGUCAACUUCCAUUGCCUGUGGUGAGUGAGCCCAUUUAUUGUCUGUUCCAAGAUAUUGAAAGAUUAAAUUCAGGAGAAAUCAAUAUAUGACUUAUACAGAGUAUGUGAACUGAAGCAGCUAUGAGCAUCUCUUCUGUCUUGCACAAAAUAUGCUCUUACGUGUGAUACAGAAGAACCUAUGUCAUUUGGUAUAAAGACUGUGAGAUCCAAAC